GCUCUGUAGCGCAGUGGUCGCGCACUCCAACUGUGCGGUUUCCCUGUGUGCUUCCCAAAAGGAAGUAUCACAGGGCCACAGGAGAGGUCCUCGGUUCGAAUCCGAGCAGAUGCA
RNAcentral lists this transfer RNA (114 nucleotides) under Clonostachys byssicola. The record is from RNAcentral. Lineage: Eukaryota; Fungi; Ascomycota; Sordariomycetes; Hypocreales; Bionectriaceae.